GACAAUCAGAGGUCACGUUCGUGGCCAUCUUGGUUUUGGUGGGAUUUGGCUGGCUUCUUUACCACAUGCUGUUUUAUCAGCAAGGUCUCUGUGACCUGUACAGAUAUUAAUGCAAUUUUUAAAGAAUAUUUUGGAUCUUCAGUUGAUUGAAUUCACAGACACAGAACCCACGGAUACAGACGGCCCACUGGACUAAUAAUUGCCCCAGAAUGAAAAGGUAUCAUCCUUCGAUGUGUGCAGCAUACAAAGCCCUAGACACUGCGUUAUAUGUGAGCUCCCUGUUUUUUUUGAGCAGACCGAUAGACUCUCUUGUGACUACAGCUCCAGAUUUCAAGCAACUGAAAAGCUAAGUAACAGGAUCUGUCAGGAGGAUGUUUACAGGUUUAAGCCAUGUUGUCAAUACGUAGAAAAUAAAGUGAGAUUCAGACAAACUAAAACACAAAACCACCCUAGAACCUGCAAAAAGGAGAAAUGCUUUCAUGUCUUCAUAUUAAGUCCAUUGUAUUAUAGUCCGUUUUAAUCAAUAUUGGAUUCAUUUUGGAUCUUAUUAAUAUGAUCACAAUUGUCUUUACUUCUACUUUUCCUGAGCUCCACUUUAUUCACUCUUUCAUUUGUCUACCUACACUGAAAAGACUGAGUAAUUAAUUCAUCUCUAGACUCUCCUAAACAAGGCAGCAUUAAUGAGUCAGCUUUGCUGUUAUUUCCUCAUAACUCUUUGCCACAAAGAAGGGAAUCCCAUGUCCUUGGCUUCGUACUCCCCUACACUAAUUUCCCUCUUUAUUCUAACUCGUGGAAGGCAAUUUGGUCCUAAUUCUAACAGAUAAAUUGACUGCCAUAACCAAAGACUGGUUAAGAUCUGGUAGGGAUAUAAAGACUUUGAAAAUAACUUUACAUUUUAUUAACUGAUGGUACUCUGAAACUGUGGUUUGAUCACUAAACACUGUGGCAUUUGUAAGUCUUAGACCCAGAUACUGCCAACCAAGAAAAACUAAGCAUCUGUGACAUUGACUUUGUAGAUUAUCCUCCCCAAACUGUGCCCAUCGAAUCUGUAUUAAAAGUUGUAAAAAUAAGACAACCAGAUGGAGCAUUUCUAAGCAUAUGAUUUACAAAAUACCUCUCUGUCUGAAAAAGGUCACUACUCUUCAGAAGCAAUGAAAACCAGGGAGAAAAGGUAUCUCCGGGGUGUUUGGGCUGGCACAGGGCUUUUCACGGUGUAUGUACAGCAAAUGCACAAAGGGAAGAAGUUUUUAGAGUUCCCAGAUUCCCAAACUGCCUCUGCAAUCACAAGCAAUAAUGCUUGCGGUGGUCACAACAAUAAUGCUUUAUUCUCCUUAUCUCUCACCCCUCCAGGUCCUCUCAGCUGGAACCACUGAUGCAGCCUUGGCCUACCUCAGUUCCCAAGUUAAGGGUGACAGAAGCAGCCUGCAUCAAUAGCCCUGCUUGAGCCCCUCAGACCAAUUUGAAAGAUAUCUCUGAACACAGUGUGGAGAAGGGACUGGAAAUAGAGGAACUGCAAGCAAGAAAGAACAUCAGUAAAGAGGCUCCUGCAAUAGUUUGGGCAAGACAUGAUGCUGGCUGAAGGCAAGGAGGAUGGCAAAGAAGGGUAAAUUGAACAGUCACUCUUAGGAGACAAAAUGAAUGGGGCUUUGCUACUGAGUGGAUGCGAGAACCGAGUGAAGCAGAGAAGAAUUAGAGAUGGCACCCAGAUUUCUAACUUAGACAAUGAGGGUUCCCAAAUGGCUCAGUUUCCUUAACAGCUCAAAGAGGAGGAAGAAG
RNAcentral lists this long non-coding RNA (1776 nucleotides) under Homo sapiens (human). RNAcentral's name for it is "HSALNT0211618". The record is from RNAcentral. Lineage: Eukaryota; Metazoa; Chordata; Mammalia; Primates; Hominidae.